Phragmites australis (common reed) is the source of this 93-nucleotide small nucleolar RNA. RefSeq annotates it as small nucleolar RNA Z103. Lineage: Eukaryota; Viridiplantae; Streptophyta; Magnoliopsida; Poales; Poaceae. The record is from RefSeq and is a predicted model, not a curated record. The transcript has a single exon.
UUUGUGGUGAUGAUCCGUUCCCCAAAUUAUCGUCCAUGAUUAUGCUGUGCGAUUUUUCGAGGUCUUGCGGACUUCUAAGCCAGAUUCUUCGAU